AUGCUCACUGCAUUUUCACUGAAUCACCAGUGCAUUCUCACUGCAUCCCCAUUGCUUCCCCAGCACGUCUCAGUUCUGUUCCCACUGUACCCUCAGUUCAUCCCCACCGGGUCCCAGCUGAGCUCCAGUUCCAUCCCCGCUGCCUCCUCAGUUCCUUCCCACUGCAGCCUUGCUGAAUCUCCACUGCAUCCUCCCUGCAUCCUCCCUGCAUCCUCCCUGCAUCCUCCCUGCAUCCUCACUGCACCUCACUGCAUCCUUCUCUUCCUCCCCGCUGCAUUCUCGCUGCGUCUUCCGUUCCUCCCCACUGUAUCUGCGCUACAUCCCCACUGCAUUCCUACUCCAUUCCUACUCCGUUCCUACUCCGUUCCUACUCUGUCCCGGCUCCAUCCCUGCUCCAUCCCAGCUCCAUCCCAGCUCCAUCCAGCUCCAUCCCAGCUCCAUCCAGCUCCAUUCCAGCUCCAUCCAGCUCCAUCCCAGCUCCAUCCCAGCUCCGCUCCUACUCCAUCCCAGUUCCAUCCAGCUCCAUCCAGCUCCAUCCAGCUCCAUCCCAUCUCCAUCCCAGCUCCAUCCCAGCUCCAUCCAGCUCCAUCCAGCUCCAUCCCAGCCCCAUUCCAGCUCCAUCCCAGUUCCAUCCCAUCUCCAUCCCAUCUCCAUCCCAGCUCCAUCCAGCUCCAUCCCAGCUCCAUCCCAGCUCCAUCCCAGCUCCGUCCCAGCUCCAUCCCAGCUCCAUCCCAGCUCCAUCCCAGCUCCAUCCCAGCUCCAUCCCAGCUCUAUCCCAGCUCCAUCCCAGCUCUAUCCCAGCUCCAUCCCAGCUCCAUCCCAUCUCCAUCCCAGCUCCAUCCCAUCUCCAUCCCAGCUCCAUCCCAGCUCCAUCCCAUCUCCAUCCAGCUCCAUCCCAGUUCCAUCCCAGCUCCAUCCCAGCUCCAUCCAGCUCCACCCCAGCUCCAUCCAGCUCCAUCCCAGCUCCAUCCAGCUCCAUCCCAGCUCCAUCCCAGCUCCAUCCCAGCUCUAUCCCAGCUCCAUCCCAGCUCCAUCCCAGAUCCGUGUCCCAGCUCCAUCCCAGCUCCAUCCCAGCUCCAUCCCAGCUCCAUCCCAGCUCCAUCCCAGCUCCAUCCCAGCUCCAUCCCAGCUCCAUCCAGCUCCAUCCAGCUCCAUCCAGCUCCAUCCCUGCUCCAUCCCAGCUCCAUCCCAGCUCCAUCCCUGCUCCAUCCCAGCUCCAUCCCAGCUCCAUCCAGCUCCAUCCAGCUCCAUCCCAGCUCCAUCCCAGCUCCAUCCCAGCUCUGUUCCUACUCCAUCCCAUCUCCA
RNAcentral lists this long non-coding RNA (1305 nucleotides) under Taeniopygia guttata (zebra finch). RNAcentral's name for it is "lncRNA (ENSTGUG00000018953.1)". The record is from RNAcentral. Lineage: Eukaryota; Metazoa; Chordata; Aves; Passeriformes; Estrildidae.